CCUAGAAGCUUGCUUAGCCGGCGACAAUGGAACUUACGUUGUUUGGUCGCGGGGACCUUUUGAUAUGAGGUCCAGAGGCUUUUAUUUGGUUAACUAUUUUGGAUCCGUCUUUGAAUCGAGUUAAAAUUCAAGCUUUCUUUAAUCCACAACUUGUCAAUUUUUAAGCCGGCGACUAUGACACUUGCACUGUUUGAUGUGAGACCCGAAGGCAUGCUUAGUCGGCGACAAUGGAAUUUACGCAAUUUGAUGUGAGACCCGGAGGCUUUUUGUUGGCUUUGUUUCCUCUCGUUAAGGUCUUAUUGAUUAUUUAGCCAGACUAAUCGUCGGUUC
This 330-nucleotide long non-coding RNA is filed under the name Nicotiana benthamiana. RNAcentral describes it as "long non-coding RNA (NBEN_LNC031996)". The record is from RNAcentral. Lineage: Eukaryota; Viridiplantae; Streptophyta; Magnoliopsida; Solanales; Solanaceae.